This 253-nucleotide ribosomal RNA is filed under the name uncultured bacterium. RNAcentral's name for it is "partial 16S ribosomal RNA". It matches the Rfam family "Bacterial small subunit ribosomal RNA", at positions 524 to 776 of the family's 1533-position model. The record is from RNAcentral.
UACGGGGGGGGCAAGCGUUGUUCGGAAUUACUGGGCGUAAAGGGCUCGUAGGCGGCCAACUAAGUCAGACGUGAAAUCCCUCGGCUUAACCGGGGAACUGCGUCUGAUACUGGAUGGCUUGAGUUCGGGAGAGGGAUGCGGAAUUCCAGGUGUAGCGGUGAAAUGCGUAGAUAUCUGGAGGAACACCGGUGGCGAAGGCGGCUACCUGGACAAUUGCUGACGCUCAGGCACGAAAGCGUGGGGAGCAAAAGGG